CCUACGGGAGGCAGCAGUGGGGAAUAUUGCACAAUGGGGGGAACCCUGAUGCAGCGACGCCGCGUGAGUGAAGGCGUACUUCUGUACUUAAAGCCCUAUCAGCAGGGGAGAAAAUGACGGUACCUGACUAAGCAGCCCCGGCUAACUACGUGCCAGCAGCCGCGGUACUACGUCGGGGGCAAGCGUUAUCCGGAUUUACUGGGUGUAAAGGGGGCGUAGACGGCAGGGCAAGUCCGGAGUGAAAGCCCGGGGCUCAACCCUGGGAUUGCUCUGGAAACUGUAAAGCUGGAGUGCGGGAGGGGUAGGCGGAAUUCGUGGUGUAGCGGUGAAAUGCGUAGAUAUCAGGAGGAACACCGGUGGCGAAGGCGGCCUGCUGGACCGUAACUGACGUUGAGGCUCGAAAGCGUGGGGAGCAAACAGGAUUAGAUACCCGAGUAGUC
This 440-nucleotide ribosomal RNA is filed under the name uncultured bacterium. RNAcentral describes it as "partial 16S ribosomal RNA". It matches the Rfam family "Bacterial small subunit ribosomal RNA", at positions 338 to 795 of the family's 1533-position model. The record is from RNAcentral.